Long non-coding RNA from Astatotilapia calliptera (eastern happy), 1077 nucleotides. The record is from Ensembl. NCBI's taxonomy places the organism in Eukaryota, Metazoa, Chordata, Actinopteri, Cichliformes, Cichlidae.
GCGAGGGGGCGGGGGGAGCUGCUGCCUGCGAGUGCGCUGUUGGAGAAACGGAGCCAGUAGUGAUGGUAAAUUUGAUUCUUUUUACUGAAUCGAGUUUUAAUGAGUCACUCACCAAAGUGAAUCGGUUUUUGAGUCAUUUGAUUCACUGAGUCAGUCGACCAGAGAGUUCAAAAAAUGUACAUUUUCACUCAAACUUAAUUUGUUUCUCUUUUCAUCUAAAUCCUACUGCUAAGAUGAAUGAUUCUAAAAGAAAACAACUAUUUUAUAGAGCAAAAAAGAGCAAAAACAUUUCUAAAAUUAAGCAAUUUCCUAUCAAAAUUGCUUAAUAAACAUUUAUUUAUUUUUAUUUUAUUUUAUUUUAUUUUAUUUUAAUAUAUUUUUAUUUUUUAUUUUAUUAGUAUUUUCCUUAAAUGUGUUAAAUAUAUAUUUUCUCAUCUAAAUGUCCACUGAGCUGUGAGCCAGGGGGCGGUAAUGUGCCUUAACAUUGGUUGCCAACCAAGAAGAAGAAGAAGCUGUGAGCCAGGAGGGAGGGAGGGGGUGAGUGAGUGAGUGAGUGAUUCGUUCGCUCUAUGAUUCAGCAUAGGAGGGAGGGGGUGAGCGAGUCCUGAGUGAUUCGCUUACGCUUACGAUUCAGCACAGGAAGGGAGGGUGUGAGUAGCUCAAAUGUGCUGUUAGCAUGUUAGCAGAGCGAUGCUACUGUGAACCGAGCUAUUUUCUUGAUGUGAGCUUCUACUCAGGGUUUUUUCUUCCAGUUCAGAGCAGAAUUUUUUUUGUUACGAUACUGGAUGUUUUUUUUUUCUCCACAAUUUUAAUUAUAAGCUAGAUACAUUGCUGCUAACAGCAACAGGGAUGACCCAGUGAGUCACUUGGGCUUGUGAAUCAUGAUUCAUGAGCAGUUAAAGUGAUGCUCGAGUAUUGAACGAUUCGUUCAUGAUUCGCGCAUCACUGGGAGCCAGGCAGACAGAGGAGAACUGAAGUUCCACCAGGUACCAAAGCAAAUCAUUCGUACUGUACAAAUAAUGUAAAUAUGAUGGUGUAUCACGAAAGAUUGAUAUCAAACUGAUCACUUGACCCAUA